AUUGAACGCUGGCGGCAUGCUUUACACAUGCAAGUCGAACGGUAACAGGCCUUCGGGUGCUGACGAGUGGCGAACGGGUGAGUAAUGCAUCGGAACGUACCCAGAGGUGGGGGAUAACGCAGCGAAAGCUGUGCUAAUACCGCAUGUGAUCUGAGGAUGAAAGCGGGGGACCGAGCAGCAAUGUUUGGCCUCGCGCCUUUGGAGCGGCCGAUGUCGGAUUAGCUAGUUGGUGGGGUAAAGGCCUACCAAGGCGACGAUCCGUAGCUGGUCUGAGAGGACGACCAGCCACACUGGGAGUGAGACACGGCCCAGACUCCUACGGGAGGCAGCAGUGGGGAAUUUUGGACAAUGGGCGCAAGCCUGAUCCAGCAAUGCCGCGUGCGGGAAGAAGGCCUUCGGGUUGUAAAACGCUUUUGGCAGGAACGAAACGGUGUCCGCUAAUACCGGGCGCUAAUGACGGUACCUGCAGAAUAAGCACCGGCUAACUACGUG
This 492-nucleotide ribosomal RNA is filed under the name uncultured bacterium. RNAcentral describes it as "partial 16S ribosomal RNA". It matches the Rfam family "Bacterial small subunit ribosomal RNA", at positions 29 to 507 of the family's 1533-position model. The record is from RNAcentral.